Pelobates cultripes (western spadefoot toad) is the source of this 245-nucleotide non-coding RNA. Lineage: Eukaryota; Metazoa; Chordata; Amphibia; Anura; Pelobatidae. The record is from the annotation of a GenBank genome assembly.
GCUGAAGUGCUGCCCUACGCAGCCCCACACCGGGGAAGGACCAGGCCCCAAAACAGCGACGGGUAAGUGAAAUGGUGGUACCGGUUCUCACAGAGUCUCAGGGCAGGAAGGGCGCCCCACCUGGAAUACACAGAUAAGCCCAUGUGAACACAGAGGGUCCCGAGGCGCGGACGGGGGGGCUCACUGACAUCCACCCCACACCUGCACUCACAGCCUCCAGACGGGGCAUCAGAUGAUCUACUACC